This 646-nucleotide unclassified non-coding RNA is filed under the name Yarrowia lipolytica. Lineage: Eukaryota; Fungi; Ascomycota; Dipodascomycetes; Dipodascales. The record is from RNAcentral.
CCAGCUAACUGCAGGUGUCGCAAGGUUCGGCGCCUAGUCUGGUGACUGCAGACAAUGGCUCUCUGCCUCCGGUUUUUUGGACCAAAUCGCUAGUGUCUGCCGUACCGGGGAGACUGCAAGAGGGGUGGAAGAGGGAGGUAAGUACAUUCACUUUUGGGAAGGUGCAAAUCGAACGGCAUCGACACCCCCUCUCAAUACUCGGAUUUGAAUUGAGACUAGAGAGCUUACAGUUAGGACUCAGGAGGAUACUUCAGGAGAAUCCAGAAAUGCACUACAAAGUAGGGGGGUGGGGGCCAGCCUCGAAUUAACGUCCCAAUAUCUUGGUGGAACUAUUUCUGGAUACAACAAGUGCUUGUGGUACUGUACGAGUACUCGUGCCCCUGCGGCUACAGUGUCUAUUGUGCUGUACUUCCAGUGAAUGGCCCGUCUGGGUUUGCCAGUGACGUCCUAUCAGCGAGAUUGCAUUUGAGGGCAUAUCCUGAAAAUCCAUCACUUGAGAUAGACAGAAGAGACAUUUCUAUAACAAUAGCAGAGGGAUAUCUAAUAUCCUGGUUUGGAGUAUACUUCCAUUAUCCCUUUUACGGUAGCUGGACGUUCCGCUCUCAUAGCAGAGUCGCUGUUAUACAUACUGGUUCCUUCUCUCUUA